GAGUUUGAUCCUGGCUCAGAUUGAACGCUGGCGGCAUCCUUACACAUGCAAGUCGAACGGUAGAGGGGGCAACCUCUCGAGAGUGGCGAACGGGUGGUAAAGCAUCGGAACGUGCCCAGUAGUGGGGGAUAGCCCGGCGAAAGCCGGAUUAAUACGCAUACGACCUACGGGUGAAAGGGGGGGAUCGCAAGACCUCUCGCUAUUGGAGCGGCCGUGUCAGAUUAGGUAGUUGGUGGGGUAAAGGCCUACCAAGCCGACGAUCUGUAGCUGGUCGAGAGGACGACCAGCCACACUGGGACUGAGACACGGCCCAGACUCCUACGGGAGGCAGCGUGGGGAAUUUUGGACAAUGGGCGCAAGCCUGAUCCAGCCAUGCCGCGUGCGGGAAGAAGCCUUCGGGUUGUAAACCGCUUUUGUCAGGGAAGAAAUCCUUUGAGCUAAUACCUCGGGGGAUGACGGUACCUGAAGAAUAAGCACCGGCUAACUACGUGCCAGCAGCCGCGGUAAU
This 508-nucleotide ribosomal RNA is filed under the name uncultured beta proteobacterium. RNAcentral describes it as "bacterial SSU rRNA". It matches the Rfam family "Bacterial small subunit ribosomal RNA", at positions 9 to 524 of the family's 1533-position model. The record is from RNAcentral. Lineage: Bacteria; Pseudomonadati; Pseudomonadota; Betaproteobacteria.